GAAAUGGAAAGUCAUAACAAGUCCUAAAAGAGAUAAAAACAAAAUCUCAUUGGAUAUUUAUUUAAAUGACACUCACUUAACUGAGUUAUAUAAACAGCAACAGGUGUAAACAAGCAUUAAUCGACAUUUUUCAGCUGUAAGAUUUAUAAAUGCUGAGGAUGCUGUUCCAAUGUUUUCUUGCCUCCCUUAUUGCCGGGGCACUGACUGAACCAACGAUUACUAUGGCGAAUGUACAUGAAAAACUACGACUUUUGCAGCCUUCGUUUCUUGUGAUUGAGCAGCUUUUUGAUGUGAAAGACAACCACCUCUGUCUUGAAAAAAUGUUUUGCCUACUGGAAACAGAAAUGCCAAACGAAGAACAUAACCCUUUCAAGUACUAUUCAUGGUUCCUUACCAACACCCACCAUGAUUCGGACGAGGGGGCUUUCAAGCAGAUCGAAAGUCUGGAAGUGCAAUAUCCCAAACUCACAAAAAUCAUUGACAGCAUUAAAUAUGGACAAUAUGCUAACACAAGUCAAAACUGUAACCAAAGAUACUCUGUAUGUAGUGUCACACAGAGUGAUCAGAUUUCAGUUGCAAAGGGUUACAGUGAUGAUAACAUUGCUAAGCUAGGAAUGCCACGUCCGGCGAAAAGAGGAACUUCCGCUUGUUUCUGGGGGUAGUCUAGGAUGUGCGGCUCUCAGUGGCGGGUGUCUUAUUUGCGCUGCUUCUACAGCAGGAACAUGCACGGCAGCGUGCGGCACAGCAGCUCUCAGCGCCUGUGUCGGAUUUGAUGUUGGUUGCAUUGUUGGCUGAACUGGAAAAAAAUAUUGUCUUAAAUGACUUGUUUUUUUAUCUCUGAUUAUUAGCAGAUUUUCACUUAAACUAAUAAUUUAUUACGAUUAUCUACGUUCAGAAGAUCAAUAUGAACGCAUUUAUAUGAUAUGGGUGUAAAAUUUGGAUGAAAUCAUAAGAUCUACAUCAUGUUUUUGUGUUAAGAAGUCAAUGUAGAUAUUGAACUGUUCGAUAAUCUGAUUAAAACGCGGUGUUACGAUUAA
Mercenaria mercenaria is the source of this 1037-nucleotide long non-coding RNA. RefSeq lists it as uncharacterized. The transcript has 2 exons. The record is from RefSeq and is a predicted model, not a curated record. Lineage: Eukaryota; Metazoa; Mollusca; Bivalvia; Venerida; Veneridae.